RNAcentral lists this small nuclear RNA (107 nucleotides) under Rattus norvegicus (Norway rat). Lineage: Eukaryota; Metazoa; Chordata; Mammalia; Rodentia; Muridae. The record is from RNAcentral.
GUGCUCACUUCAGUAGCACGUACACUAAAAUUGGAAGAGUGCAGAGAGGAUUGGCGCUGCCCCUGCACAGGGAUAUUGUGCAAAAAGAUUCUACUUGAUAUGUAAAU